This 253-nucleotide ribosomal RNA is filed under the name uncultured bacterium. RNAcentral's name for it is "partial 16S ribosomal RNA". It matches the Rfam family "Bacterial small subunit ribosomal RNA", at positions 524 to 776 of the family's 1533-position model. The record is from RNAcentral.
AACGUAGGAGGCAAGCGUUAUCCGGAAUUACUGGGCGUAAAGGGCGUCUAGGUGGGACCUUAAGCGCGGUGUGAAAGCUCCCGGCUCAACUGGGAGAGUGCGCUGCGAACUGAGGACCUAGAGGGCGGGCGAAGGGGGUGGAAUUCCCGGUGGAGUGGUGAAAUGCGUAGAGAUCGGGAGGAACACCAGUGGCGCAAGCGGCCCCCUAGCCUGCAACUGACACUGAAGCGCGAAAGCGUGGGGAGCAAACGGG